RNAcentral lists this ribosomal RNA (406 nucleotides) under uncultured bacterium. RNAcentral describes it as "partial 16S ribosomal RNA". It matches the Rfam family "Bacterial small subunit ribosomal RNA", at positions 30 to 526 of the family's 1533-position model. The record is from RNAcentral.
AUUGAACGCUGGCGGCAGGCCUAACACAUGCAAGUCGAACGAGUGGCGGACGGGUGAGUAAUGUCUGGGAAACUGCCCGAUGGAGGGGGAUAACCACUGGAAACGGUAGCUAAUCCCGCAUACCAUCGGAUGUGCCCAGCUAGGAGUAGCUAGUAGUUGGGGUAACGGCGCACCAAGGCGACGAACCCUAGCUGGUCUGAGAGGAUGACCAGCCACAUUGGAACUGAGACACGGUCCAGACACAUACGGGAGGUAACAGUGGGGAAUAUUGCACAAUGGGAGCAAGCCUGAUUCAGACAUGCCGCGUGUAUGAAGAAGGCAUUCGGGGUGUAAAGUACUUUCAGCUGGGAGGCGUUACCAGCAGAAGAAGCACAGGCUAACUCCGUGCCAGCAGCCGCGGUAAUAC